GGACGAACGCUGGGCGGCGUGCUUAACACAUGCAAGUCGAACGGUAAGGCCCUUCGGGGUACACGAGUGGCGAACGGGUGAGUAACACGUGGGUGAUCUGCCCUGCACUUCGGGAUAAGCUUGGGAAACUGGGUCUAAUACCGGAUAGGACCACGGUCUGCAUGGAUUGUGGUGGAAAGCUUUUGCGGUGUGGGAUGGGCCCGCGGCCUAUCAGCUUGUUGGUGGGGUGAUGGCCUACCAAGGCGACGACGGGUAGCCGGCCUGAGAGGGUGUCCGGCCACACUGGGACUGAGAUACGGCCCAGACUCCUACGGGAGGCGGCAGUGGGGAAUAUUGCACAAUGGGCGCAAGCCUGAUGCAGCGACGCCGCGUGGGGGAUGACGGCCUUCGGGUUGUAAACCUCUUUCAGCAGGGACGAAGGGUGACUGACGGUACCUGUAGAAGAAGCACCGGCCAACUACGUG
RNAcentral lists this ribosomal RNA (464 nucleotides) under uncultured bacterium. Its description in RNAcentral is "bacterial SSU rRNA". It matches the Rfam family "Bacterial small subunit ribosomal RNA", at positions 27 to 507 of the family's 1533-position model. The record is from RNAcentral.